AAAGAAGCCAACAAAACAUAUAACUGUGAAAAUUUAGGUCUCAGUGAAAUUCCUGACACCCUACCAAACACAACAGAAUUUUUGGAAUUCAGCUUUAAUUUCUUGCCUACAAUUCAAAAUACAACUUUCAGCAGACUCAUAGAUCUUACUUUUUUGGAUUUAACCAGGUAUGUAUCUGAGUUCCUGUGUACUCUUGAUGUUUUACUUAAGAAGAAACAAAAUUUGCAUUUGAAUUGUCCCCAGGAUCUUCUUUUGGGGCACAGGGACACUCUGCUUAUUCUGUAUUUUCAUUUACUCCUUCAUCUGAAAUACUUUAAUGCAAGUGAAGUGUAAUUUAAAUAAACAACAAUCAAUGGACAGGAAAGUGAGUUGUUUUCAAACUAGCUGCAUCAGCAGUACCAUUGAAGAAUUUCUAAGGAAUAUUAAAAAAAAGUGAAAAUAAAUUCUGCACUGAAUCAGACACCAUAUUAUACUAUAUUUUAACACAGUUGACUACUAUUAGGUGAAUCGCAUGUAACAAAAGUUAUGAGAAACACACAUACCUACUAAUUCUUUUUUUUUUUUUAAAUUGAAAAAAGAGUUCCAUUAUUUGGCUUUAGAGGCAGAAUCAGGAUUCCAUAUCCUGAACAAAUGUUUGAGAACCAGUGGACAAAAGUAUUACAAGAAAGUAUGGGAGGAAAACAGAAGGGAUGUGCAGCUUGUGUGUGUGUGUGUGUGUGUGUGUGUGUGUGUGUGGAGUGGGGGAAGGGACCCCACAUGUUCAUGACUUCUGUACCCCUUGCAGUAGUUCAAUGACUUCCACUUGUGUCUUUCCACUUGAGUUUCUGCAAAGUGGAAGAAAGCACACACCCAUAGCACUGUUUCAUCUUUACAAUCACCUCUGUGGGGUGCCAAUUAAUAUUACCACCCAUUUCUGCAGUUAGAUGCAGAAACUAUCAGUGUGUGUGUGUGUGUGUGUGUGUGUGUGUGUGUAAGUGUGUGUGUUUAAUCCAGUACUUUAAGAUGCAGUACCAGGAUGGAUUUCUCUUAACUUCUAGCAUUCUGUAGUUCAAUGGAGCAUUUUUACAUACAUCAUUUGACAUACAAUAAUUCUACAAAAUAGUCAUUAUUUUUGUAUUUCAUAGAUGAAAGAGGAAGGCUGAGUGUGGCAUGUAGCACAUGCCUAGCAUGUGUAAGGGCAUACGCUCAAUCCCCAGCAACUCUUUCUUCCCCCCAAAUAGGCUUUAACUUGCCAAGGAUGCCAAGGAUAAAUACAUACCAUGUAUUAUCUAUUAUACAUUACAUAUGGCAUAUUUUAUAUUACUUAAUAUAAUAAAUCACAGUUUGGUUUUGCCUACAAAAAAAAUCAAACCACUAAUUGUUCCUUAGAAUACAAAUAUAAACCUCUGAGUGUUCUAUCUAAAUAGGAAAGACAGACAUCUGGAAUAAAUUCCAAAUCAGAGCUUUCAGUACUAGGGCUAUUCAUUAAUUAUCUUGACAGACCAUCUGUGGGUAUGGAAGAAAGUUUUUUGUGUUGGAUAACAUAUAGUGUUUUAUGGUAUACAAAAGAUGGCUUUGGGAAUGUGGUGACAGCAUUUUCCCUUUUUUUUUCUAAUUAAUCAUUGUUAAAUACAAUUAUCUUUUCAAGGUGCCAGAUUAACUGGAUACAUGAUGACACUUUUCAAAGCCAUCAUCAGUUGAGCACACUGAUAUUAACUGGAAACCCUCUGAUAUUCAUGGCAGAAACAGCAUUUAACGGGCCCAAGUCGCUGAAGCAUUUGUUCUUAAUUCAAACAGGAAUAUCCAGUCUUGAGUUUAUCCCACCUCACAAUCUGGAAAACUUGGAAAGUUUGCAUCUGGGGAGCAACCAUAUUUCUUCCAUUAAGCUCCCAAAUGAUUUCCCAGCAGGGAAUCUGAAAGUCCUGGAUUUUCAGAAUAAUGCUAUACACUACCUUUCUAGAGAAGAUAUGAACUCUCUGAAGCAGGCCACCAACCUAAGUCUUAACUUCAAUAGCAAUGACAUUAAAGGUAUUGAGCCUGGGGCUUUCAGUUCACAAUUCUUCCAAAGCUUGAACUUUGGAGGGACUCGUGACUUGUCUGUCAUAUUCAGUGGUCUACGGAACUCUACUAUUCAAUCUCUCUGGUUGGGGACAUUUGAGGACAUUGAUAACCAAUAUCUAAGUUCAGCCACAUUUCAGGGUCUUUGUGACACAUCUGUUGAGAGCAUCAACCUGCAAAAGCAUCAUUUCUCUGACUUCUCCUCCACCACGUUUCGAUGCUUUGCCCAACUCCAGAAUCUGGAUCUAACGGCCACUCACCUGCAAGAAUUACCCUCUGGGAUUGAGGGUAUGAACUCACUCAAGAAAUUAGUUCUCAAUGUAAAUAAAUUUGACCAAUUGUGUCAAAUCAAUGCUGCCAAUUUCCCCUCCCUUACACACCUCUAUAUCAAAGGCAACAUGAAGAAGCUUCACCUCGGUACUGGCUGUUUAGAAAAACUAGAGAAUCUUCAGAAACUUGAUUUAAGCCAUAGCGGCAUAGAAGCUUCUGAUUGCUGCAAUCUGCAGCUCAAAAAUCUUCCCCACUUGCAAAGUCUAAACCUGAGCUACAAUGAGCUCAUUGGUUUUCAGAGGGAGGCGUUCCAAGCAUGUCCUCAGCUAGAGAUCUUGGAUUUGUCAUUUACCCACUUACAUGUGAGUGCACCACAAAGUCCUUUCCAAAACCUUCAUCACCUGAAGAUUCUGAAUCUCUCUCAUAGCUUCCUUGAUACCAGCAAUCAGCUUCUUCUAGCAGGUCUGCCAGACCUUCGGCAUCUGAACUUGCAGGGGAAUCGUUUUCAAGAUGGGAGUAUCCCGAAGAACAACCUACUUCAGACAGUGGGAAGCUUGGAGAUUCUGGUUUUAUCCUCCAGUGACCUCUUGUCCAUAGACCAGCAGGCUUUCCACAGCCUUGAUAAAAUGAGUCAGGUAGACUUAAGUCACAAUAAUCUGACAUCAAAUAGCAUUGAUGCUCUUAGCCAUCUUAAGGGGAUCUACCUCAAUUUGGCGGCUAAUGCCAUUGGCAUNUAGAUUUUGGUUUUGUUUCACUUCGAGUUUAGCAAUCUUUUUGUUGAAACAAAAUACAAGCCCUAAAUGUGAGGUUAAAUGCAUUUUCACCAAGUGAAUAUAUUCAUAUAACCAGCACAUAGAUGAGAACACAGAACAUGCUCAGUACAUGGAAGCUUUCCUCAUGCCUCCUCCCUGUCACUAAUCCCCAAAGGCAUCCAGUCCUCUAACUUCUAUCGUCAUCAUUCUUUUUGCCUGGAUUUGAGCUUAUAAACGUGGAAGCCCAUGGUGUGCAUUUUUUGUCUGUCUGCCUUCUUUUGCUCAACGUUAAAUCCUUGGUGGUGUGUGCAGCAGUCAUUCGUUCAAGCUCAUGACUGAACCACACUGUUUGAUCAGUGAGCUGCCAUUUAUUAAUGCCUUCUACUGUUAAUGGAUAUUGGCAUUGUUUGUAGUUUUUUGACUGUCAUGAAUGAUGCUAUUUUGGGUGUUGUUGUCUUUAAUUAACAAAGGUAUGAAUAUUUAUUUGGUGCCUUAGAAUGGAUGUAUUUGGUCAUAGGGUAUACAUAAUUUUAACUUUGAUAUUGCCAAAUGGUUUCCUAAAAUGUUGGUACCAAUUUAUACUAUUGGAAAAGUUUAUGAAUUCUAAUUGCUCCACAGAUUCACUAGCAUUUUAUUUUUUUAUUUUUUUUAAAGAGAGAGAGAGAGGCAAUUUUUAAAUAUUUAUUUAUUUAUUUUUAGUUUUUGGUGGACACAACAUCUUUAUUUUUAUGUGGUGCUGAGGAUCGAACCCAGCACCCAGCGCGUGCCAGGCUAACUUGUUACCGCUUGAGCCACAUCCCCAGCCCUCACUAGCAUUUUAUAUUGUUUGUUUUUAAGUGUUGGCCCUUGUGAUGGGAAGGUAGUAGUAUUUCCCUGAGAUUUAAUUUUUGCUUGCUUGCUUUCUUUUGUUCUUUCUUUCUUUCUUUCUUUCUGUGGUGCUGGGGAUUGAACCCUAAUUUUUGUUUUCUUGAAGAAUAAUUAAUUUGAGCAAAUAUUCAUACUUUGGCUAAUCAUUACAUUACAUGUGUGUAUGUUUUGUCCAGGAUCAGACACAGGGCUUUGUGCAUACUAGGCAAGAGCUCUAUCACUGAGCUACAUUCUCAGCCCUGCAUAAUCCCUUUUAUGUGUGUGAGGUACCUGUUCAAGUCUCUUGCCCAUUUUCUCAUAGGCUGUCUUGAUUUGUAGAUAUUGUUUAUGUUUUGUGAAUAAAAAUCCCAUAUGAGAAUGCAAAUUUAUCUUCUCCUACUCUGUGACUUAUCUUUCUACUCCCCUUAAUGGUAUCUUUUGCUAAAUAGAAGUUCUUAAUUUUAUUAUAGCUCAAAGUAUCAUUUUUCCUUUAGUUUCCUUGCAUGUCCAUGCUUAAGAAAUUUUGGUUAUCCCAAGACUAUGAUGAUAUUAUCCAGUGAUUUUGUCUAGGAAUUUGUUUCAUAUUUAUUUCUACUUCUAUGUUUCAUGCAUGCCAGGUGGCAGUUGGGAAUAAUUUUUAAUAAAACUUUUUGAUAAAAAGGAGUUUAAACUGGACUGGGGUUGUGGCUCAGCAGUAGGGCACUUACCUAGAACAUGUGAGGCACUGGGUUUGAUCCUCAGCACCACAUAAAAAUAAAUAAACAAAAUAAAGGUAUUGUGUCCAACUACAACAUAUAUAUAUAUAAAUGUAUAUAUGGGAGUUCAAACCUACCAAUGCAUUUGAGAGACAUUACAAUGAACACUCACAAACCUUUCAAGCAGAUUCUUCCAUUGCUAGAUGUUGUAUGUUUUCUCUGUGUGUGUGUGAAUGUGAAAUAUAUGUAUAUAGAGAGGUAAGUAACAAAAUUAUAGCCAUGACCAAGCCUUCAGAGGAUGACAAAUAUGAAGAGUAGCAGGAAUCCAGUGUUCAGUGAUUUGGAUUUUGAUCAUGGGAACAUUUUACAUGCAACUUAGAAUAGUUACUUCAAGAGGGCAGGCAGGCCUUCCCAUUUCAAAUGGGCUCCUCUUAACCAUUCUCUUCCCCCAAAACCACAAUAGGAGAGUGUCCUUCAGUCUCUAGGUAUGGAGCAGGGGUCCUCAGCAGAGCACUUUUUGAGGGGUACUCAAGUUUAUGGAUGUAAGAACUUCCUAAUAGCUUUAGAUAAUGAUAUGAUGCUAUGCAGAUCCCAUUAAGGGCUAACUUCUUUUAGUACUGACACACAUUUUAAUCCUCAUAGUAAGACUGCAAGAUGAGAUUAUCAUCCCCAGUCCACAGCUGGAGAAACCACAUGUCCAGACAACAGAAUUUUGUGUUAAGAGCUGGGACUUGAACUCCAGUGGACUGAUUAUAAAGACAAAAUAAAUAAAUAAACAAACAAACAAACAGACAAACAUAUAAUUGGAAUGCCCAAAGUUUUAGGGAUGUGCCUUCUUGGGGGUGUUUGUUUUAUUUUGUUUUCAGAGAGUAAUCAUUGCUCUAAGAUUCAUCUUACUAGCCAAAUUGCUCUCUCUUGGAUAGAGGUGUGAUUAAAGAGGGAGGGUUGGGGGGCAGUGUCCCAGACUCCUUGUGCAUGCAUGUGUCAAGUGCAGAUGAGACGCCUGAAAAGGUGGGAAUAAGCACUUGAGUGGAAUUCAAAGCGUUCCAAAUUAGAAAAUGCUUCCACACUUGCAAGGAGAGAAAAUACAGUGGGAUGGGAGGGAGUUAGAGAUACAUUGCAGAAAGAAGCAAAAUAAGAUCCUGAUUGAAAAAAUGCAAAUGAAUACCUGCAGGGAAAAGGGAUUGCAAAUAUAAAUGUAGCACUUGGGAGCCUUGAUCUGGGUAAAAGGCACAGCUCUGAGACCAAGCUGGAGACAAAAUGAUUGGCACAGGUCCCAGGGUACAGUGAGUCCUAAGCAAAUGCCCGUUGAUUUUGAAUAGGGGUGGGCAUAGAACAGUUGUCAUGAAUACCAGGCAGCUUUACCAGAGUUAUGUCAGAAGGAUCCUGUCUGCAAUUGCCACCAGCCACAUUAGAGGAAUAAGAAAGCAACUUUGGAAACUGACCAUCUACUGAAUUAUAGAAAGACAAGACUGGGCUUGUGGGAAGUGGACAUGUGGAUCUCAGGGAAACUACAGUGUGGGUUGUGUCUGUCUGGAUAUAAAAAUAAAGCAUGUAGUGCUGGCAGUGACCAAGCUGUCUGUUCCUUUUCUGCAUCCUGUCUUCAUUCACUGAAGAAUUGUAACUCUGCUGUUCUGCAACCCUGUGCUGAUCUAUCAGAACUUUCUGAAAGUUUUGAUCUGAAUCUUGACUGGGAGAAAGACACAACAUGACUGAUAUAGUAUUUUUACCAAAAAAAAAAUGUAUAACCUGAGUCAAUUAUGAGGAAACAUAUGAACCCAUAAUGAGAAACAUUCUGCUAGAUAUGAGGCUGUAUUCUUCAGAAGAUACCAGUGUCAUAACACAUGAUGACAGGCUAAAGAAUUGUCUCAAAUUAAAGGAAUCUAAGGAGCUAUGACAACGAAAUGUAAUCAGUAUAUGAUCCUGGGUUGGAAAAACAAAAAUUACUGUAAAGGACAAUGUUGAGACAAGUAGCAAAAUUUGAAUAUAGACUAUGUUGGUAGUAACAUUGAAUCAGCAUUAAAUAUUAAAUAUUCUGAAUUUGAUAAUAGCAUUGUGAUUAUAUAUCCUUAAGACAUAUAAGAUAUUUAGGGGUGAAAGUUCAUGCUAUCUUACUCCCAUUCAUAAAGAAUGAGACUAAUAGUCUCAUUAUGCUAGCAACAGCAGAGCUGUAGUAAAGCUGCCUGGUAUUCAUGACAACUGUCCCAUGCCCACCCCUGUUCAAAAUCAAGGGGCACACACACACAUGCACUUUCAACCUUAAAAAAGACAGUCUACUAAAUAUAAUUGAAUGCUUCUUGGAUGAUUCUGGAGUGUGUGGUGCUUUGGUAUCCCAUCAUCAUACCAAUAUUGACAGUAUAAUUGUGAUUACACAAACUGUAAGGGAGGGCCACGUGUGUGUUGAGUCCAAGACAUUUCCGAAAAUCUGUUUGGUUUUUAAAUUCUCUUAGCUGCAUCUCUUGUCACUUCCUCUUUCUCCUGACAAUCAAGGGCAGAGAGUUUAUUGCCAUUUCCACCUAACUUGAGAUUACAAAGCACAAGCUUUGGGCAGGCUGCUGGUAACCCUUGGGCCCUAGCUCUCUGCUAGGUAAAAGAGAUCUUUUCAUUUACUAACUUUUCCUUUUCCUAGUUGUUCCCUCAGGCCACUGGCUCAGUAGAGGUCCUCCUGGAUUCUCAAUUUUCUGAAUCACAUUAUUUCAAUAAAGUACUUACUAAAGCACACAAGAGGCUGAGACAUGGAAUAAUUUAGGUGUCACGGGGCACUUGCAUAUUCAGUAGAAGGAAGGAAUUGCCAGCAUUGAGACUUUUGCUGUAGGGUCAGAAUAGAGCAAGACGAAUUGGGGGAAGUCCCCUUUCUCCAAGCGUACAUGAAAUCAGUUAUGCCAAUGGAGACCAGAAAAGAAAAUUGUCUCCUUCAAGCUGAUCAGCACCAUGGCAACUAUAGGGACUGCAGCUGCACAUACACAUACUUUCUGGGUUGUCUGGCCACCAAGGACAGUAUAGCAAAAUAAAAUAUUUUUUUUCCUCACCAGUCAGUUAAAUCCAAGUUUCCAAUGCAAACUGUGCAUUUCAAGGACAUUAUAUAGAUUUGCAGCAGUGCCUAGAGGACUUUGGGUCUAUAAGAAUGAAGAAUGAAUUACAAGGAAAUAUAAAUAUGGCAUUUUCAUCAGUGACAACUAUGAUAUUGUCACAAUAUUGAAGGAAACUAGUGAUUUCUUAUAGAUGUACAUGCUCACUGUUGCUAUAAAAAAUGCACAACUAAGCAGAAAUUGGAGAAAAGCAAAAAAAAAAAAAAAAAGAUUAAAAUGGCAACAUCCUGAGCCUCAUGAUUCAGGGAAAAGAAGAACACUUCCAGUUCUGUUUCCAGCUAAGCAGGUCUCUUUGCAACUGAUCUGGAGAGCAGCUGAUCUGGAGUUUGGUGGGAUAGAUCUUUUGCAGUCAGGGCUCAGAGGAGCCUCUAAGAAGCCUAGGUAUGAUCAGGAGAGGCAAGGACAAGAAGGAUGGAUGAAGUCACCUGGGGCCUGAGACAUCUAAGAGCUGGUUCAUGGUCCUUGGUACCCAUCUCUUGGGGCCUCCAAGGGGCAUGUGUCCUGGAGAUCAUUUCUUUCUUACCUAGGAAGCUUCUACAGGAAAGACAUGCCCCUUCCUAGGUGCCCCCUUACUCUUCAUGCUGAAGUGUCAUCCAGAUUAAUUAUGAUUACAUCAUCAUAACUGUUUCCAACUUUUACCUAGUUAGGUUAAGAUUUUUAAAUUUUGGAUAAGCAACCUCCACAUAAAUAUCACUCCACAUCCAGCAAACAUCACCAUUUUACUUACUAAUUUUUAUCUGUCCAUUCCUCCUAUCAUUUUUUGCCGGGUAUUUUUAAGCAAAUUCCAAACAUCACAUCAUUUUAAAUCUAAAUACUUAAAUAUGCAUCUCAAAAGAAAAAAAAAAGGAAUAUUGAUUGUAUAUAACCAUAAGGCCUCUAACAUUAACAAAAUUCAUAAUUUCUUUUUUUAUUGGAAUAUUACUCAGCUUUAAAGAAGAGAGAAAUUAUGGCAUUUGCCAGUAAAUGGAUGGAGUUGGAGAAUAUCAUGCUAAGCAAAAUAAGCCAAUCUCAAAAAACAAAAGCCUGUUAUGUUUUCUCUCAUAUGCAGAUGCUAAUUCAUUAUUUCUUAAUACCAUCAAAUUCUAUCUCAUUUAAAUGCCUCUGUUUAUCUAAAAAUGUCUUUUUCUAACUGUUCUACUUGAGUCAUAAUCUAAACAAAGCCUAGUCUGUUAUUUGUUAGUUGUAUUUCUUAAGUAGCUUUUGUACCACUUUGUGUUUUUUUUAAAGCUGUCUCCCUUCUCUUUCUUUCUCUCUCUUUCACAUACUAAUAAAACAAAGAUGUUUUAUAUUAUGUGCAACUUUUUGCAUUUGAUUAACUGCUACCAUUAGCUUAAAUCUGUCAUAUCACUUGUAGAUGUGAAAAGUAGACCUAAGAUCUUCAUUGAAUUCAAGUUAAUUACUUUCUUUUUGGCAAGAAUACUUCAUAGGUGGCUCUGUGUACUUCAUAUUGUACUAUGUCAGAAAGUGAAUAAUGUCUCAUUGUCCUAUUUUUCUGAUGCCAAUUUAAUAUUAUUUGCUUAUUUUCAAGAUGAAACAAACACUUCUAUUUACUCCAAAUCAAAACUAACCAAAGUAUAAUCAGAGGAAUCUUAUUUAUAUUUUUACUCCUCUAUCGGGUACUUUCUGUCCUCUUAAAGAUCACUGAAUUUUUUAGCCAUAGUUUCUUUUAGAAAAUAUGAUAAUAUAUAUUUUUUGGUACCAGGGAUUUAACCCAGGGGCACUUUCCCACUGAGCCACAUUCCUAGCACUUAUUUAGAGAUAGGGUCUUGUUAAGUUGCUUUAGGGGCUCACUAAGAAGCUGAGGCUGGCUUUGAACUCAGGAUCCUCUUGCCUCAGUCUCCCAAGCCACUGGAAUUACAGGCAUGCACCAUUGAGCCCAGCUCAAGUAUCCUUGUUAUGAAAACCUAGCAUACUCUAUGCUAUAUACACUGCAUACACUGUUAGACGCUUUGUUUUUUCACCUUACAUCAUAUCCUGGAUCUCACUCCCUACCAAUUUAUGCAGAUCUUUCUCAUUGUUGCUGAGGUUUCCAUUUUGGUCAAUUAUUUCCACAUUGAUAGAUAGCCUGGUUUUGCUAUUACAAAUAUAUAUAUAUAUAUAUAUAUAUAUAUAUAUAUAUAUAUAUAUAUAUAUAAUGAAUAAUAUCAUGGACAAAUCAUGUUGUUUUUUAAUAUUUUUUUUAGUUGUAGUUGGACACAAUACCUUUAAUUAAUUAAUUUAUUUAUUUUUAUGCUGUGCUGAGAAUCAAACCCAGUACCUCACACACACUAGGCAAGCACUCUACCACUGAGCCACAACCCCAGGCCCUCAUGUUGUGUUUUUGCAAGAACAUAUUUGGUAAGGAUUACUAAAAGUGGGAUUGCUGCUCAAAGGGUAAAAUGUGUCUAAUUUUUCUAGAUAGUCAAUCAAAUCUCUAAAUCCUAUAUUAAUUUCCAUUAUUUCUCCCAUCAGAAAGAAGCCAACAAAACAUAUAACUGUGAAAAUUUAGGUCUCAGUGAAAUUCCUGACACCCUACCAAACACAACAGAAUUUUUGGAAUUCAGCUUUAAUUUCUUGCCUACAAUUCAAAAUACAACUUUCAGCAGACUCAUAGAUCUUACUUUUUUGGAUUUAACCAGGUAUGUAUCUGAGUUCCUGUGUACUCUUGAUGUUUUACUUAAGAAGAAACAAAAUUUGCAUUUGAAUUGUCCCCAGGAUCUUCUUUUGGGGCACAGGGACACUCUGCUUAUUCUGUAUUUUCAUUUACUCCUUCAUCUGAAAUACUUUAAUGCAAGUGAAGUGUAAUUUAAAUAAACAACAAUCAAUGGACAGGAAAGUGAGUUGUUUUCAAACUAGCUGCAUCAGCAGUACCAUUGAAGAAUUUCUAAGGAAUAUUAAAAAAAAGUGAAAAUAAAUUCUGCACUGAAUCAGACACCAUAUUAUACUAUAUUUUAACACAGUUGACUACUAUUAGGUGAAUCGCAUGUAACAAAAGUUAUGAGAAACACACAUACCUACUAAUUCUUUUUUUUUUUUAAAUUGAAAAAAGAGUUCCAUUAUUUGGCUUUAGAGGCAGAAUCAGGAUUCCAUAUCCUGAACAAAUGUUUGAGAACCAGUGGACAAAAGUAUUACAAGAAAGUAUGGGAGGAAAACAGAAGGGAUGUGCAGCUUGUGUGUGUGUGUGUGUGUGUGUGUGGAGUGGGGGAAGGGACCCCACAUGUUCAUGACUUCUGUACCUCUUGCAGUAGUUCAAUGACUUCCACUUGUGUCUUUCCACUUGAGUUUCUGCAAAGUGGAAGAAAGCACACACCCAUAGCACUGUUUCAUCUUUACAAUCACCUCUGUGGGGUGCCAAUUAAUAUUACCACCCAUUUCUGCAGUUAGAUGCAGAAACUAUCAGUGUGUGUGUGUGUGUGUGUGUGUGUGUGUAAGUGUGUGUGUUUAAUCCAGUACUUUAAGAUGCAGUACCAGGAUGGAUUUCUCUUAACUUCUAGCAUUCUGUAGUUCAAUGGAGCAUUUUUACAUACAUCAUUUGACAUACAAUAAUUCUACAAAAUAGUCAUUAUUUUUGUAUUUCAUAGAUGAAAGAGGAAGGCUGAGUGUGGCAUGUAGCACAUGCCUAGCAUGUGUAAGGGCAUACGCUCAAUCCCCAGCAACUCUUUCUUCCCCCCAAAUAGGCUUUAACUUGCCAAGGAUGCCAAGGAUAAAUACAUACCAUGUAUUAUCUAUUAUACAUUACAUAUGGCAUAUUUUAUAUUACUUAAUAUAAUAAAUCACAGUUUGGUUUUGCCUACAAAAAAAAUCAAACCACUAAUUGUUCCUUAGAAUACAAAUAUAAACCUCUGAGUGUUCUAUCUAAAUAGGAAAGACAGACAUCUGGAAUAAAUUCCAAAUCAGAGCUUUCAGUACUAGGGCUAUUCAUUAAUUAUCUUGACAGACCAUCUGUGGGUAUGGAAGAAAGUUUUUUGUGUUGGAUAACAUAUAGUGUUUUAUGGUAUACAAAAGAUGGCUUUGGGAAUGUGGUGACAGCAUUUUCCCUUUUUUUUUCUAAUUAAUCAUUGUUAAAUACAAUUAUCUUUUCAAGGUGCCAGAUUAACUGGAUACAUGAUGACACUUUUCAAAGCCAUCAUCAGUUGAGCACACUGAUAUUAACUGGAAACCCUCUGAUAUUUAUGGCAGAAACAGCAUUUAACGGGCCCAAGUCGCUGAAGCAUUUGUUCUUAAUUCAAACAGGAAUAUCCAGUCUUGAGUUUAUCCCACCUCACAAUCUGGAAAACUUGGAAAGUUUGCAUCUGGGGAGCAACCAUAUUUCUUCCAUUAAGCUCCCAAAUGAUUUCCCAGCAGGGAAUCUGAAAGUCCUGGAUUUUCAGAAUAAUGCUAUACACUACCUUUCUAGAGAAGAUAUGAACUCUCUGAAGCAGGCCACCAACCUAAGUCUUAACUUCAAUAGCAAUGACAUUAAAGGUAUUGAGCCUGGGGCUUUCAGUUCACAAUUCUUCCAAAGCUUGAACUUUGGAGGGACUCGUGACUUGUCUGUCAUAUUCAGUGGUCUACGGAACUCUACUAUUCAAUCUCUCUGGUUGGGGACAUUUGAGGACAUUGAUAACCAAUAUCUAAGUUCAGCCACAUUUCAGGGUCUUUGUGACACAUCUGUUGAGAGCAUCAACCUGCAAAAGCAUCAUUUCUCUGACUUCUCCUCCACCACGUUUCGAUGCUUUGCCCAACUCCAGAAUCUGGAUCUAACGGCCACUCACCUGCAAGAAUUACCCUCUGGGAUUGAGGGUAUGAACUCACUCAAGAAAUUAGUUCUCAAUGUAAAUAAAUUUGACCAAUUGUGUCAAAUCAAUGCUGCCAAUUUCCCCUCCCUUACACACCUCUAUAUCAAAGGCAACAUGAAGAAGCUUCACCUCGGUACUGGCUGUUUAGAAAAACUAGAGAAUCUUCAGAAACUUGAUUUAAGCCAUAGCGGCAUAGAAGCUUCUGAUUGCUGCAAUCUGCAGCUCAAAAAUCUUCCCCACUUGCAAAGUCUAAACCUGAGCUACAAUGAGCUCAUUGGUUUUCAGAGGGAGGCGUUCCAAGCAUGUCCUCAGCUAGAGAUCUUGGAUUUGUCAUUUACCCACUUACAUGUGAGUGCACCACAAAGUCCUUUCCAAAACCUUCAUCACCUGAAGAUUCUGAAUCUCUCUCAUAGCUUCCUUGAUACCAGCAAUCAGCUUCUUCUAGCAGGCCUGCCAGACCUUCGGCAUCUGAACUUGCAGGGGAAUCGUUUUCAAGAUGGGAGUAUCCCGAAGAACAACCUACUUCAGACAGUGGGAAGCUUGGAGAUUCUGGUUUUAUCCUCCAGUGACCUCUUGUCCAUAGACCAGCAGGCUUUCCACAGCCUUGAUAAAAUGAGUCACGUAGACUUAAGUCACAAUAAUCUGACAUCAAAUAGCAUUGAUGCUCUUAGCCAUCUUAAGGGGAUCUACCUCAAUUUGGCGGCUAAUGCCAUUGGCAUUAUCUCACCCCAUCUCCUCUCCAUCUUGUCCCAGCAGAGCACUAUUAAUUUAAGUCACAAUCCCCUGGACUGCACGUGCUCAAAUAUUCACUUUUUAACAUGGUACAAAGAAAACCUGCAAAAACUUGAGGACUUGGAGGAGACUGUGUGUGCAAAUCCCCCAUCACUAAAGGGAGUUCAACUGUCUGAUGUCCGGCUGUCCUGUGGAAUUACCCCCGUGGGAAUUUUAUUUCUAACAGUAUUUUUCCUCUUGGUCUCCAUUCUACUCAUUUUCGCAAUUAAAUUCUUUCUCAGGUGGAAAUACCAACACAUUUAGUGCUGAAGGCUUCUAGAGAAGGCAAAUAGAACGUGUUUGGCACAACUGCCUUAACUGGAGAAAUAGUUGGAUGUGGAUAACCAGACUCUUCAGACCAGCUCCUGGUGUUGGGCUGGGAUUGACUGUGCUUUUUAAGUUUUUUACUUUUUACUUUUAUUUUGUUUUGUUUUGUUUUUGUUUUGUUUGUUUGUUUGUUUGUUUUGUUUUGUUUUUUUGAGCUUCUUACCCUGAUGAGUCCUUCCUGGCAGGUAAACUGACUGGGGCCAGAGGACCCUGCUAUGGGAGGUACCUUACCAUUUAUUUCCUCACAUGGAAGAUGACUGAAGUUGGGGAGGGAGCCUUGGCAAUGCCACCUGCCUUCCACUCACUGAGAGACCUCACAGAACCUCAUCCCUGGAAGGAGAUCACCAUCCCCAUAACUUGACAAUGCUGAGGCCAACCCUAUCCACUUGUACUUUCUCCCAUAUCUAAGUCAUUAUGCUUGAGUCAAAAUUCUCAAUAAUGUAGCCAUUUGGAAAACUUAGUCCAGGGAAAAGUCUCAUUGAAUAUUUUAAAUGAGAAAAAGAAUAAUGCAACCUGGGCAUGGUGAUGCACACAUGUAAUCCCAGUGGCCUGGGAGGCUGAGACAGGAGGAUGGUAAGUUUGAGUCCAGGCUCAGCAACUAAGCAAGACCCUGUCUCAAAAUAAGAAACAAAAAGGGCUGAGGAUGUUAAGUGGUUAAGUGCCCCAGGGUUCAAUCUCUGGUAUCAAAAAAUGAAACAAACUAAAACAAAAAAAGAAUUUAAAAGACUGAGAAAUGAAUUGUGCUUUCAAAUAGACUCCAUUAAUCUACUAGGUCCUUAGGUUUCUAGGUCUUGAUAAUGCCUCUGGAAUGAAAAUAACUACAAAAAAAAAAAAAAACAAACAAAACAAGCAAACAAAAACCAUUCCUUUACCCCUUAAUCCCUGAAGUCUAGGAUUUUAUUCACCUCCAUCCUUCACACCUUCACUGCCUGUCUGGUGUUCUGGCUUUUAUGUGGUAGAUCUCACUUAGUAAUGGGCUUCGGUCCAAAAUGCUCUUCUUGUCUAGGUGUCUAGUCCUCAGAAGCCUCUUUCCCAUGGAAUGGUGAGAUAAAUGGUGACUGGUUCCCAGACUGGUCCUCAAACAUCUAUUUAUCUCAGAGAGCUGCUUACAAUGAAAACUAGUGGAAGAAGCCAUCCCUACACACUAGCUGUUAGGAACACAGUAAAGCUGGCUUCAUGAUAGUUUCUGUUGAGGCUGAGGGUGUCAGUGAAGGUCAUGCCAGCAAUAGACACGGGACAGAGUCAUUGAGUACAAAUAGACAAAGAGGAUGAAGAAGCUGGCAGUGUCAACACUGAGACCUUCCCCAGGCCCAGUGAGUCCCAUUUAACUGGGCCUUGCCCUUCUGAGGCUGGAUUAUUGGACAAGCUUACUGGAGCUCUUGUACUCAGCUGCUGCAUUUAUAGCCCACUUCUUCCUCCUCCAUAUCCAUGGAUUCAAGCAACUGCAGAGGGACAAUGUUUGAAAAAAAAAAAAAAACCUCCAAGUGUACAGAAUAUGCACAGAAAAUUUUCAUGUCAUUGUUCCCUAAGCAAUAUAGCACAACAAUUGUUUACAUAGUACUAAUAUUGUUUGGGAUAUUUAUAAGUAAUGUAGAGAUUAUUUAAAGUGUAUGGGAAGAUGCGUGUAGGUUAUCUGAAAAUACUGUGCCAUUUUAUAUAAGGAACUCGAGUAUCUGGGAAUUCUGGAAUCUGUGAGAGGUCCUGGAACCAAUUCUCUAUAGAAACCAAAGGGUGACUACAUAAGGGCUCGAUUAAGUUCUACUAUCAAUUUUUAGGUCAAAGAGAGUAUCAUUCUGAAAUUCUGCUUGGAUAUCAAAGUAAAAGUUGAUCAAUUUUAAUAUCCAAUCUGAAAUUUUUUGCCCUUAGACUAAAGGCAUAAUAGUGGACAUGAUCAUGGAAUGUGGGAAUUCAUCCUCUUUGCCUCUUCUUCAUUCCCUGGAAAAGCUGGACAGGAAGGGAACAGCAAUGGAAGAACCUCUUGGGGGCUCAGGAAUUACAGGCUUUCUUGCUUGUUCCUUUUUGCCUGGAAGAUGCUGCGGGCAUCUCCCGAUGACUGGUUCCCUCCCAUCCCUGAGAUCUCAGUGCUGGUAUCCACUCCUCUGAGGGAGCUCUUCCUUGACCUGGCCAGUCCAAACCAAAUUAGGCCACACCCAAUGCUCUCACUAGCACCUCCAUCAUCUUUAUUGUUAAUCAGCUAUAGGAUUAUCCUCCUCAUUUUGUUUUAAUUUGUCUAGCUUGUCUUUUUUACCCCCAAAUGUAAGCUGCACAUGAGGGUCUUUACCCAAUGGUGUCCUACAAGUGCCUGGGACAAAAUAAGGACUCGAUAUAUUUUCAGUAAUUGCUGACAUUUGCUGGCCUUCUGACCCCUAAACCCUUAUCAGCACCUACUUCCAUCCCCAUGACCAGACAUACCAACCUUUAGCUUCAGUUGACAUCUCCAAUAUUUCCUAUGCCUCCCACAUAUUUCUCACCAGAAUAACCUAGGGCAACCUAGGAUAAGAAGUGGAUUCUUGUGCCUUGCCUCCAGAUGUUGAGAUUCUGUCAGACUAAGAUUAGCCCUGGAUUCCCAGCCAAAUGACUGACUCCAGUAAAAUCCAUUUUUAUUCUUAAUGAUACAUGUAUCCCUCUUACUUCUCUCAUCUUGUGAUAUUUGACUUCAAAUGCAUUUCUCCCACGGAAGAUCCAUAUUCUAAGAAUUUGGUCUUAGACAACACCAACCCAUUAGUUUCCUAGGUAUUCUGUCAAUGUGAUCUCCUUCCUGUCCUAGGGCUUUAAGCUGCAGAUGGGAAAUAUUAAUUGUUGACCUACCACCCCUUAGCCAUACUCUUCACUAUAAUAUUUAAUGGGUAACUUGAAAAAACAAAACUAUUCUGUAGAAAAAACUCUGAUGCAGGUUGCAUUACAUUAAAGGUAGCAAAGUUUCACAUGUUAGAAAGGCAUAAUUGUUCAUCCUGCUUUCAUUGAUCACCAUGCUCCCUCCCAUAUGAUACAACUAGCUGCUCCAUAACUGCACACUGAUCUAAGGCUUUGUGACAGUUCCUCUGUUUCAAGCAACAGUAAAUUCACCUCCAAAAAGUCAGAAAGGGAGUUUUUUGAUGGCUGCUGUCAAUUUUAUUGCUUUAUCUGGUUACUAGGAUAGAAUCUGUAGACAUAGUGUGUUUAUUGGUUUUAUGUAUUGUGUGUUGUUGCUGCUCUGACAAGCUACUCCUAUAAAAAUGUGUUAUUAUUGCAUGAUGUAGCUCAGUGAGCUGACCCUGCAUUUCAAAGUGUACUGAAGCAAAUAGCAUUGAAGUCCAUAAAAGCUGACUGGCCUCCAUCACAGAGGAUUCUCUGCGUGAGCUGCAACUCCUACAAUCUGAGGAAGAAUUAUACCUUUCCCUGUGCCAGCAGCCACUGCUAUUAACUGAGCACAGCACAACCUCAAACACAGGCAUUAUCUGAAAAUUUUCAAAACAGGAAACUCUUAAGUCAUUCUUACUUGUCCAACUCUCUGAUAAACGUUGAUUGCAAUUUUGAAAUUUACAAAAGUAUACAACUGGCUUUUUAAUGUUUUCUUUUGUUAGUAUAGAAUACAAGAGGGGUAACUGACAAUGUUUUCUUUCUGCUCAGAAUGUUGAAGAGCUUUGCUGUUUAAUCUUUCAUGAGCAGUAACAGCUUUUAAAUACAAUCUGUAUUUAAUUAAUUCUUUCUUUUUAAAAUCUUAUCAGAUCAAUAACUGAUUUCAAAACAUUAGCUGGUUAGCUCUAAGCAGAAAAGACUGGGGAGUCAAUGGCCUGAUGUGUUAAGAAUCUGAAUUCUAGGCCAGGUGUGAUAGCACACACCUAUAACCCCAGUUGUUCAGGAGGCUGAGGCCAGAGGAUCACAAGUCCAAGGCCAAUCUGGGUAACUUAAUGAGACCCUGUCUUAAAAUAAAAUAAAAGAGCCUUGAGGUUUAGCUCAAUGGUAGAACACUUUCCUACUAUGCCCAAGGCCUUGGAUUCAAUCCCCAGAAUGGGGAGGGGAAAAAGAGCACAAUUUGCCCAACAUAGCAGGAGGUAGCCUGCAGGCCAUAGGGAGAUGGAUUAGCUCAGUGUGGCUCCCAAGCCCAACUGAUUAUCAGAAUGACCUGGGGAAUUCUUUACAAAACAGUUGCCUAUGUCCCAACUUUAGCUAUUGAGACGGGGGUUGGUUUUGCACUCUUGACCAAAUUAUUUUAUAUAAAAUCCUUCCUUAAUCUUAACAACAAACAGCAGCAGAAGCUUGUUAAACUCCAUCAGCCCAAACACUGUAAUUCCAUAUCCCAUGAGAAGAAAUUUCUUAACGAAAAUGGGACAGCAGCACUAAGGAGCCCUCAAACCCAGGAACAUCCUGGGCAGGUAGUCUGUGUCUUCUGCCAUCACUGCCAGGCGACAGGACUCUCCUAAAACCACCCUGCUUUCCACCUGUGUCCUUCCCACUCUCAUGCUAUGCUAGCUAUUUAUGACUUGAAAUCAGUUAUUGAAUAUGAUGAGACUUUAAAAUGAAAGCAUUUGAUUUAUGGAUGGUAUUUAAAAGCUGUUAUUUCUCAUGAAAGAUUUAGCAGCAGCUGGGCAUGGUGGCAUGCGCCCAUAAUCCUAGCAGCUCGGGAGACUGAGGCAGGAGAAUCUUAAGUUCGAAGCCAGCCUCAGCAAUUUAGUGAGACCUUAAGCAACUCAGUGAGACCCUGUCUCAAUGGAAAAUAUAAAAAAAAAGAGUUGGGGAUGUGGCCAAGUAGUUAAGUGCCCUUGGGUUCAAUCCUCAGUACAAAAAAAAGAUUAAGCAGCAAAGCUCAUCAAAGACCCAGCCUCCCACCUUCCUCAUCUUUAAUUUUCCCUGAGUACUUGACUGUUCAAGAUAUGGUACUAGAUCAUGCAAAGAUAGGGGGAAAACAAGUGGCCACCAGACACCCACCCUUCUCCUUCUGCUCCCUUCAUGUUGGUUCAUGGGCUUUCUAAAUAGCUUGGAAAACUAUUUCCUUCUCCCUCUCUAGUAACAACCUAAAUAUGCAACAAGAAAUAAGUGAUUAAAUAAAUUAGGAAAUGCCCUGAAUAAGUAGGGAGAGAUUCAAUGUUCUUAUGUGGAACAACUUAAUACUAUAAAUAAGUCAAUGCAAUUAACAAUCAGAUAAAGGCAUAUUAAAAUGAAAUGAACUUUUAUAUCUACCAGACUAACCCAAAAGAGAAAGCUGGAUAAUAGUGUAGGUGGGGAACUGCAUGCCUUAGGUUUAAACUGAUAUAGCCCUCCUAAGACCAUCUAAGGCCAUAAUCUGACAAAUUAAAAUGUGAUCCUCAAAUAUGGGGUGGGGGGUAUGUCGCAAGAAUUCAUGGCAGCAUAAUUUAAGGAUGGGGAAGUUUGUAGCAAUUUGAGUUUUCAUCACUAGGAAAGUGAGUGGAUAAAGUAGGGAAGACGAAAAACACAUAGUUAGAAGCAAUGGAUUUGAUACAACAACAACUGAAUCUUAAACAUUAAAGAAAAACUUUGCAGACAAUUUAAAGUUAACAGAGUUUAUUUGAGCAAAGAUGGAUUCAUGUAUUGGAUAUACCCUGAACCAGUAGAGUUUCAUUUUUUUCUUUCUUUUUUUUAAAGUUUAGUUUUAGACAGAGUCUUGCUAAAUUUCUGAGGCUGACCUCAAACUUGUAAUCCUCCUGCCUCAGCCUUCUGAGUCUCUGGGAUUACCAGUUUGCAUCACACUCAGCUUCUGAACCAGUGGAACUUCAUAUAGCUCCAUCCAGCAAUAUAGCCAAAUGGUAUUUAUUCAUAGAUAGGAAAAGGAAGUGACAUAUAGAAACCACUUGAUUGGUUAUAGCUCAGUAUUUGCCUUAUUCAGGCAUGGUAUAUUGAGGCAUCUGCCUCAUAUGGAUAUAGUCUGAUCUGCUCACAGUCUGUGAUUGGCUGCAGCUCAGCAGCUGCAAUUGGCUAAAACUCAGUGAUCUGUUAAAUGGAUAUACUCUUAGUAAGGUUGCAGUUUGUUGAUGUACAGAGUCAGUGUUAGGCAAAUUUACUUUAACAUACAGAGUUUCAGGGAGGAACAAAAACCAAAAUGAUGUAUUAACAUGAUCACCUACAUAAAUUAAAAAGGCAUGUAUACAAACAAUGUAUAAAAAAUAUUUUUAAAGAACUCAAACCAAAAAAUAAACCACUAAUAUUGUUGCUGAUUAUAUGGGGGUUGGGGGCGAAAGGCAAUAUCAAGAUAAAUUAAAUGAACCUUAGCCAUGGUUGAUGUGCCCAGAACUGAAGAGUAAGAUAAUCUUCAUCAUCAUCAUCAUUAUCAUCAUCAUCAUCAUCAUCAUCUGUGCCUGAGGUUUUCUAGUAUAGACACACACACACACACACACACACACACACACGAGAAAAUAAUAUGGCACAAUCAUAUAAUGAAAUGCCAUAUGGCCAUUAUAAAUAACAUUGCAGAAUAUAUUUACAGACAUUGAAAUAUAUUUGCUUUAAUAUCCAAGCAAAAGAGCAGAUUACUAAACAUGAUGCUCAUUAUUAUUUCAUUUGUCAGCAAAAUAAAUAAUACCUAAAUAUUAAACAGUGACAGAGUGGCUGGUGGGGUUGCACUAAUUUGAGAACUUUUCUCCUUGCUAUAUUUUGAAUUUUCCUUCAAUGUAUUUUCCAACUAUAGGCAAUAAGGAAAAAAAUAAAAGAAUUGUUGCUUUGGGGUAAACAAUAAGAAGUCAAGGAUCCUGAGAACCACAGGUACUCAAAAGAAGGCAGUGUUUUUCCAAGGAAUGCAAAUGAUCAAGCUCAGCCUUUGUGGGUCACUUUUUCCUUUUUCUUGAGACAGAGGGAGCCAAAGCUGGUUUGAGGAUCCCCAACUGUAGGACACAAAUUACAGGGGACAAUCCACAGGAAAUGCUUCAGAUCCCAACAGAAGUCAAUACAUUUCUACUCAUGAAAAUUAUUUCAGCAUGGGACCCUUAACACAGCAUAUGUAUUCCAAAAGGACAGGAUUUUCUGGUAAAGAUUUUUAUUUAGACAGGUAGGUGCUUGAGGAUGUGUUCAUGCCAACCUGACUGUGACCUUUGUAGCUGCAAAGUACCUGCUGCGGGCUUUGCAAACAUCUUCAUUCUUCACCACCCAGCUGCUGACAGCUAAUUCUGGGCAGUGCUUAGUGAAGCAGGAUGAAUAUUUGUAAGAUGCUUUGAGCUUUACCAUAUUAAUGGACUUUUUUAAAGCCAUGUGAGGAGAAAAAAUAUAAUCAUAUGCAACAUUUAAGCAUACUGGACUGGUACGUCACAGAGAUUCCCUUUCUCAAGUUCUUAUCUGCAUGCAAGUAUUCAAUAAAAUUAUGUAGGGGCCCAGGGGUUUGAACUGAGCACUCGCACUGUCUUCAACAGACCAAAGCAAUAUAUGGAAGUUUAAUCACAGUAACUAAGACUUGGCUGGUUGCAGGAUACCCUGUCACCAAUUAACUGAUUAAGCUAUAAAUAAUACUAGAUAAGCUGUGCCCAAUUGACGGGUUGUUCACUAGGCUGUAACCAAUUAUUUUACCUGCCUCACUUCUGUUUUCCUAUAAAUGCUGUCUGAUCACAUUGUUGGGUAUUUUCAGCACCUAUUCUGGUUCUGGGAGUGCCAGGUUCUACUUUGUUUUGCUUACAUAAAUUCUACUAAAUUUAAUUCGUCUAAGGCAUCUUCCUUCUAGACUCCUGGGGGCAGCAGGUAAUCGGGUGUGGGGACUGCUGGGAACUUCAUGGCCACUGUCUUCUUACUGAACUUGGGAAUGAUAGGUAAGUUCUCUCUUGGAUUUGGAAGCUCCAUGGAUUUGUUUUUCAAUAAGUUUGUUUGAGCAAAAUUUUGAUCCAGACUGGGUUGGAAGUUGUAACCAGGACAUUGGACUGGUCUUAUUAGAACUCAGGUGUCUGAUUGGACCAGAUGGAAACUGAACUGGGGUCAGUAGGAAAAGGACUGGGGCCUAGCGGGAUCUCAGGCCAGUGUGUCUGAGAGAAAACCUGGAUUCAGUAAAGUAGUUAGAUAAGGUUGCUGCAAGAGGGACUCAUGGGCUCAUCUAGAUCCUGGAACUCCACCCAGGGAUAGCUUGUGCUAUGAGGAGGACAUGCCCUUGGGGUUUGUGCCAAGGGUCAGUUUGUGCCAUGAGAGGGCAUAUGACUGGGCAUUUGUGGUAGCUACUAGGAUUGAAAAGAAAUACACCAAGUCUGGGGGCUGGAAUUCUGGCCCAUUUCCUGAAUAAGAAUGCCUGAUACCUGCAGUUUUUUAUUUGGG
RNAcentral lists this long non-coding RNA (21764 nucleotides) under Marmota monax (woodchuck). Lineage: Eukaryota; Metazoa; Chordata; Mammalia; Rodentia; Sciuridae. The record is from RNAcentral.